RNAcentral lists this ribosomal RNA (29 nucleotides) under Listronotus bonariensis (Argentine stem weevil). RNAcentral's name for it is "partial 5.8S ribosomal RNA". The record is from RNAcentral. Lineage: Eukaryota; Metazoa; Arthropoda; Insecta; Coleoptera; Curculionidae.
GGGUCGUAUCAAUUUAAAAGACUGCUCGG